GACGAACGCUGGCGGCGUGCUUAACACAUGCAAGUCGUGCGGUAAGGCCCUUUCGGGGGUAAACAAGCGGCGAACGGGUGAGUAACACGUGAGCAACCUGCCCUUCCCUUGGGGAUAACUGCCGGAAACGUUGGCUAAUACCGGAUAUGACUUCCCCACGCAGGUGGGGUGGUGGAAAGCCUUCGGGUGGUGGGGGAUGGGCUCGCGGUCUAUCAGCUUGUUGGUGGGGUGAUGGCCUACCAAGGCUUCGACGGGUAGCCGGCCUGAGAGGGUGACCGGCCACACUGGGACUGAGACACGGCCCAGACUCCUACGGGAGGCAGCAGUGGGGAAUAUUGGACAAUGGGCGAAAGCCUGAUCCAGCAACGCCGCGUGAGGGAUGACGGCCUUCGGGUUGUAAACCUCUUUCGCCUGCGACGAAGCGAGAGUGACGGUAGCAGGUAAAGAAGCACCGGCCAACUACGUG
Molecule: ribosomal RNA, 466 nt
Filed under: uncultured bacterium
Lineage: Bacteria
Description: partial 16S ribosomal RNA
Rfam family: Bacterial small subunit ribosomal RNA
Source: RNAcentral